This 1488-nucleotide ribosomal RNA is filed under the name Klebsiella pneumoniae. Its description in RNAcentral is "partial 23S ribosomal RNA". It matches the Rfam family "Bacterial large subunit ribosomal RNA", at positions 1 to 1527 of the family's 2925-position model. Lineage: Bacteria; Pseudomonadati; Pseudomonadota; Gammaproteobacteria; Enterobacterales; Enterobacteriaceae. The record is from RNAcentral.
GGGUUGUGAGGUUAAGCGACUAAGCGUACACGGUGGAUGCCCUGGCAGUCAGAGGCGAUGAAGGACGUGCUAAUCUGCGAAAAGCGUCGGUAAGGUGAUAUGAACCGUUAUAGCCGGCGAUGUCCGAAUGGGGAAACCCAGUGCAAUUCGUUGCACUAUCGUUAACUGAAUACAUAGGUUAACGAGGCGAACCGGGGGAACUGAAACAUCUAAGUACCCCGAGGAAAAGAAAUCAACCGAGAUUCCCCCAGUAGCGGCGAGCGAACGGGGAGCAGCCCAGAGUCUGAAUCAGCUUGUGUGUUAGUGGAACGGUCUGGAAAGUCCGACGGUACAGGGUGAUAGUCCCGUACACCAAAAUGCACAGGUUGUGAACUCGAAGAGUAGGGCGGGACACGUGGUAUCCUGUCUGAAUAUGGGGGGACCAUCCUCCAAGGCUAAAUACUCCUGACUGACCGAUAGUGAACCAGUACCGUGAGGGAAAGGCGAAAAGAACCCCGGCGAGGGGAGUGAAAAAGAACCUGAAACCGUGUACGUACAAGCAGUGGGAGCACCUUCGGGUGUGACUGCGUACCUUUUGUAUAAUGGGUCAGCGACUUAUAUUCUGUAGCAAGGUUAACCGUAUAGGGGAGCCGCAGGGAAACCGAGUCUUAACUGGGCGUUAAGUUGCAGGGUAUAGACCCGAAACCCGGUGAUCUAGCCAUGGGCAGGUUGAAGGUUGGGUAACACUAACUGGAGGACCGAACCGACUAAUGUUGAAAAAUUAGCGGAUGACUUGUGGCUGGGGGUGAAAGGCCAAUCAAACCGGGAGAUAGCUGGUUCUCCCCGAAAGCUAUUUAGGUAGCGCCUCGUGAACUCAUCUUCGGGGGUAGAGCACUGUUUCGGCUAGGGGGUCAUCCCGACUUACCAACCCGAUGCAAACUACGAAUACCGAAGAAUGUUAUCACGGGAGACACACGGCGGGUGCUAACGUCCGUCGUGAAGAGGGAAACAACCCAGACCGCCAGCUAAGGUCCCAAAGUCAUGGUUAAGUGGGAAACGAUGUGGGAAGGCACAGACAGCCAGGAUGUUGGCUUAGAAGCAGCCAUCAUUUAAAGAAAGCGUAAUAGCUCACUGGUCGAGUCGGCCUGCGCGGAAGAUGUAACGGGGCUAAACCAUGCACCGAAGCUGCGGCAGCGACACUAUGUGUUGUUGGGUAGGGGAGCGUUCUGUAAGCCUGCGAAGGUGACCUGUGAGGGUUGCUGGAGGUAUCAGAAGUGCGAAUGCUGACAUAAGUAACGAUAAAGCGGGUGAAAAGCCCGCUCGCCGGAAGACCAAGGGUUCCUGUCCAACGUUAAUCGGGGCAGGGUGAGUCGACCCCUAAGGCGAGGCCGAAAGGCGUAGUCGAUGGGAAACAGGUUAAUAUUCCUGUACUUGGUGUUACUGCGAAGGGGGGACGGAGAAGGCUAUGUUAGCCGGGCGACGGUUGUCCCGGUUUAAGCAUGUAGGCUG